UGCUGUGGCAUCAUCAAGAUUCACAUCUGUUGAUGCUGCAUCGGC
Molecule: microRNA precursor, 45 nt
Filed under: Arabidopsis arenosa
Lineage: Eukaryota; Viridiplantae; Streptophyta; Magnoliopsida; Brassicales; Brassicaceae
Description: AamiR172a-1
Source: RNAcentral